RNAcentral lists this unclassified non-coding RNA (84 nucleotides) under Pedobacter soli. Its description in RNAcentral is "Flavo-1 RNA". Lineage: Bacteria; Pseudomonadati; Bacteroidota; Sphingobacteriia; Sphingobacteriales; Sphingobacteriaceae. The record is from RNAcentral.
ACCUAAACCCGAUGGCACGGAUGCCGGUAUAGGUUAUUAUUAUUUUCAAGGUAAUUACCGGCAGGAGGAACAGCGGGACCGGAG